UGGUGGAACAUUCAUGCUCAAAAACGAGCAUGAGGCUUGACAGUUAUUCAAGAUCCUAAGCAAAAAUUCUAUACAUUAUAUGUCUGCCACAUCUAGAGAAGCUCCCAGGUUAGGAUCCAAAAGAGGUGGAAUGUAUGAGGUAAGCCACUCCGUAUACAUCCACAGCAAAGUGGACGCACUAUCCCAGAAACUCGACCGACUACUGC
RNAcentral lists this long non-coding RNA (206 nucleotides) under Elaeis guineensis (African oil palm). RNAcentral's name for it is "long non-coding RNA (EGUI_LNC034941)". Lineage: Eukaryota; Viridiplantae; Streptophyta; Magnoliopsida; Arecales; Arecaceae. The record is from RNAcentral.